Molecule: non-coding RNA, 73 nt
Organism: Podarcis lilfordi (Lilford's wall lizard)
Lineage: Eukaryota; Metazoa; Chordata; Lepidosauria; Squamata; Lacertidae
Source: the annotation of a GenBank genome assembly
GGCAGUGUGGUGCAGUGGUCAGAGCGUCAGGCAGAUGACCUGGGAGACCAGGAUUCGAAUCCCGACUCAGCCA